Molecule: long non-coding RNA, 2188 nt
Organism: Spinacia oleracea (spinach)
Lineage: Eukaryota; Viridiplantae; Streptophyta; Magnoliopsida; Caryophyllales; Amaranthaceae
Exons: 9
Source: RefSeq, a predicted model, not a curated record
CCCAACAAUUCCCGAAUAAAUAAAUUCGUUUAAUUUAUUUAAUAAAAAUCCGGCUUUCGUAAAUAAUUAAUAAUAAAAUUAUUUAGAAAUAAAAUACAUUUAAAUCACAUUAAAUGCAAUUAAAUUCAUAAAAACCUUUAUAAAUACAAUAAAAUAUAUUUAUAAAUUACGAAAAAUACGAGGUAUUACAGCUAUACUUUCACUAGAGGAAAAAUCCUGAUAAGUUGCUCAUCAAAAGUUGCCUUUAUUAAACAAGUGCAUCUUUUAAUAACAAAAAACUAAAAAAAAAAAUCUAAACUUUUCCCUCCAAGCAAACGCAACCUUUAACCUAGGAACUAAAAAAAAAAAAAAAACAACACAAACCAUCUCCCUGCAAAGGAACACUGCCUCUCCUACUCCAAACCGUCUCCCUGCAAACCAUAGCCCUGCAAACCAUCUCCCUGCUCCCUCUCUCUCUCUUCGCCGCAGCCACCGCAGGCCGCAGCCACCAGCGAUCCGAGCAGUCGAGUUCGAGGAAGAGAAAGCGAGUCACCGACGAUUCGCGAGCAGUCGAGUUCUUGCUCGCAGACGAACCUUUACGAGGUUCUUGGUGUGGGAAGCAUGCACUGCAUCUCAACAUGAAAUUAGAAAGGCGUACCACAAGUUGCGUUGCGACUCCAUCCUGAUAAGAAUGAUUACUCUGGAACCCCACAUGUUCCUGUGUAUAUUAAGCUUUCAAGUGGCAUCAUCAACAGUUAUUUCCAGCUUGUUGAUCCUGAAGGCAUUAGACAGGAGCUAAAGCAUAUAAAAUCAUUGAAUGUGGAUGGUGUCGUUGUAGACUGUUGGUGGGGAAUUGUUCAAGGAUGGAGUCCGCAGAAGUAUACGUGGUUGGGAUAUAGGGAAUUAUUCAUGAUCAUCAGAGAAUUUCAGCUGAAAGUUCAGUACAACAAAGGAAAAGUUGCAUAGAAGGUGAUAAGGAAGCGAAUGAGAAAUUUCAACAGCUCCAGAAGGUGAUGUCCAUUCUUGGUGAUGAGGAGAAAAGAGCCCUUUAUGAUCAGACCAGAGUUGUCGAUGAUGAUAUUGGUAGGAUCUCCUGAUGAUAUAUCAAGUGCUCUUGAUGAUAUAUCAAGUGUUGUCCUGGUUGAAAAAGAGAGGAACACCCUAGGUACCGUGAAUAAUAACCAAAUUGUGAAACGCGCGUGGAUACUAGUUAUGGGAGGAAAGAUAGGGACAGAGAGCAUGGGACAAACAUGAGUUUUUGUCUUGUGGUUCGCAGCAAGGAAAUGAACGCUUUAAAUCUAAAGCGACGAAGCAUGGAACAGCAACACACGAAGCCACAAUCGCAGCACAGCAAGCAUCAAGCAGCGCGCAGCGCGCAGUACUCGAGCACAGCCAAGGCACCCAGUGCGAGCGCAUAGCCCAGCAGUCCGUGUAAUCCCCCGUAAUAUUAUACAUUUUAUUAAUAUAUUUUAACGUAUAGUUAAUUAUAUUUAAAUAGAAUUUACGAAAUUUAGAAAUAAAUAUGUAAUUUACGAAUAUUUAUUUUUAUACAUUUUAAAUGUUUCAACGAUUUAUGAAGUCAAAACUAAUUUUAAAAUUUGAUGUUGAAAAGGACUAGGAUUUUGAAAACCGAUUGAAUUUAGAAAACAAUCCUAAAAGAUUUUGGAUUGAAAUCCUAAAACUAAAUCCCAAACUCUAGCCCAAUUGGGUGAAGCCCAAAAUAAUAAAACCCAAGGAAUCUCCUCUUUUCCUUUUCUAUUUCACGUGAAAUCAAUUAGCAAAGCCAAAACCCUUCCCUUUUCAAUUUCACGUGAAAAUCAAAAAGCAAAACCCUCCUCUCUCCUUCCCUCCUUCACGUGUAACCCUGCUGGCCGCCGACCCAGCCACCGGACCACCGUCGACCUAGCCACCGGACCACCGUCAUCCCUCGUCGCUAGCACCAACGUGUGCGGUCCACGACCACCAACCACCCUCGUCGUUCCCUGCACACGGCGCCGCCCGUCUGCAGCGUCGCUGCUGUGGUGCCCAUCCGCCAUUCUUCCUAUUCGUUGCUUGCUUAUCACGUCAACAACCUCCUUGCCCAGCCGCGACCAAGAGCCCAGCCGCGACCAACACUUGCGCCGCCACCCAGCGCCGCCCUACCGCCGUGGCCUUGUCGCGCCGCUGCACCAACCGCCCGCAGCCCUUCUUCCCUUCUUGUUUUGGUUAU